RNAcentral lists this ribosomal RNA (678 nucleotides) under Vibrio alginolyticus. RNAcentral describes it as "bacterial LSU rRNA". It matches the Rfam family "Bacterial large subunit ribosomal RNA", at positions 328 to 1013 of the family's 2925-position model. Lineage: Bacteria; Pseudomonadati; Pseudomonadota; Gammaproteobacteria; Vibrionales; Vibrionaceae. The record is from RNAcentral.
GUUAGACGAACAGCCUGGAAAGGCCGACGAUACAGGGUGAUAGUCCCGUAGUUGACGACGUGUGUUCAGUGAAAUCGAGUAGGGCGGGACACGUGAUAUCCUGUCUGAAUAUGGGGGGACCAUCCUCCAAGGCUAAAUACUACUGACUGACCGAUAGUGAACCAGUACCGUGAGGGAAAGGCGAAAAGAACCCCUGUGAGGGGAGUGAAAUAGAACCUGAAACCGUGUACGUACAAGCAGUAGGAGCACCUUCGUGGUGUGACUGCGUACCUUUUGUAUAAUGGGUCAGCGACUUAUAUUCAGUGGCAAGGUUAACCAUCUAGGGGAGCCGUAGCGAAAGCGAGUGUUAACUGCGCGACUCAGUCGCUGGAUAUAGACCCGAAACCAGGUGAUCUAGCCAUGGGCAGGUUGAAGAUUGAGUAACAUCAAUUGGAGGACCGAACCGACUAAUGUUGAAAAAUUAGCGGAUGACUUGUGGCUAGGGGUGAAAGGCCAAUCAAACCUGGAGAUAGCUGGUUCUCCCCGAAAGCUAUUUAGGUAGCGCCUCGGACGAAUACUACUGGGGGUAGAGCACUGUUAAGGCUAGGGGGUCAUCCCGACUUACCAACCCUUUGCAAACUCCGAAUACCAGUAAGUACUAUCCGGGAGACACACGGCGGGUGCUAACGUCCGUCGUGG